UACAGAGGUCUCAAGCGUUGUUCGGAUUCAUUGGGCGUAAAGGGUGCGUAGGCGGCGCGGUAAGUCGGGUGUGAAAUCUCGGAGCUUAACUCCGAAACUGCAUUCGAUACUGCCGUGCUUGAGGACUGGAGAGGAGACUGGAAUUUACGGUGUAGCGGUGAAAUGCGUAGAUAUCGUAAGGAACACCUGUGGCGAAAGCGGCUCACUGGACCAUUACUGACGCUGAGGCACGAAAGCUAGGGGAGCAAACAGG
This 253-nucleotide ribosomal RNA is filed under the name uncultured bacterium. Its description in RNAcentral is "partial 16S ribosomal RNA". It matches the Rfam family "Bacterial small subunit ribosomal RNA", at positions 524 to 776 of the family's 1533-position model. The record is from RNAcentral.